Zalophus californianus (California sea lion) is the source of this 426-nucleotide long non-coding RNA. RefSeq lists it as uncharacterized. The record is from RefSeq and is a predicted model, not a curated record. The transcript is spliced from 3 exons. Lineage: Eukaryota; Metazoa; Chordata; Mammalia; Carnivora; Otariidae.
AGCCGAGGGAGCAAGGGAGCCGAAUUCGAGGGCAGGAGAGACCACCAGGCUCCUUUCCUGCCUCCAGGCUGGAUUCUCUCGCUCUUGCCUGAGCCAGCAUCAGUUGGAGGAUGGAAUGGGGAGAGACAACCGCUUCCUGCCCUGGGUGACCAUGCGGUGCCGGCAUUCACUCACCUGGCAGGCAUCCGCCCCUUCCGUGCCGCUGGCACACACCAUGUUGUCCGUGAUUCUCCCGGGGAACACAGCCCGGCAGGUGGCACUGGAAACGAUGGAGACAUUGAGGCAUUGCAGCAGAUGCUGUGACCUUUGACCUUCAAUCUUAUUAUACUUAGGUCCCAACUUGACCUCCUGUUCUCUCUCUGUCUCCAGACCCCACACUCCUCGUCUUCUCUUAAACUUCUAAACUCAGCGAUAAACCAUUGGUGC